Molecule: ribosomal RNA, 232 nt
Filed under: uncultured bacterium
Lineage: Bacteria
Description: partial 16S ribosomal RNA
Rfam family: Bacterial small subunit ribosomal RNA
Source: RNAcentral
CGGACGGGUGAGUAAUGUCUGGGAAACUGCCCGAUGGAGGGGGAUAACUACUGGAAACGGUAGCUAAUACCGCAUAACGUCGCAAGACCAAAGAGGGGGACCUUCGGGCCUCUUGCCAUCGGAUGUGCCCAGAUGGGAUCAGCUAGUAGGUGGGGUAACGGCUCACCUAGGCGACGAUCCCUAGCUGGUCUGAGAGGAUGACCAGCCACACUGGAACUGAGACACGGUCCAG